GACGUAGGGGGCAAGCGUUGUUCGGAAUUAUUGGGCGUAAAGCGCUCGUAGGCGGGACUGGAAGUCCGUGUUGAAAGACCUCGGCUCAACUGAGGGACCGGCGCGGAUACUCUAGUUCUUGAGGCAAUCAGAGGGUGAUGGAAUUCCCGGUGUAGCGGUGAAAUGCGUAGAUAUCGGGAAGAACACCCGUGGCGAAGGCGGCACUCUGGGACGGUACUGGACGCUGAGACGCGAAAGCGUGGGGAGCGAACAGG
This 254-nucleotide ribosomal RNA is filed under the name uncultured bacterium. RNAcentral describes it as "partial 16S ribosomal RNA". It matches the Rfam family "Bacterial small subunit ribosomal RNA", at positions 524 to 776 of the family's 1533-position model. The record is from RNAcentral.